UCAUGGGAGGCACAAGAGAGUGCCGAGGGAGGGAGGUGGCAUGCCUGCCCUCCUUGCCUGAUGGCGUUCUCCGAUGUUGCUGGCUCCCCAGCGAUAAUCUGCUUUCCACCCAUAAGCCCGGCUGGGCCGUAUUGGUGUCUCUAGGAUCCUGUCCUUGCACAAGACACUGCUCCUCUCCUUCUGCCACCACAGAGGGCCUGGAUACGGGCAUCGCGAGCCUUCCUGAAGGCAGCUGGUGCCACUGCUUCGCGGUUGGCUCUCUCCGUGUCUGCUGAAGCGAACACGGCCAGUCCAACACCCAUUCGCUGCGGAACUGCCGUCUGCUGCAGAGGCUGACGCAGCUUGCGAGCGCGGACUGGAGACCGAAUUCCCCUGGGCUCAUGCAGCCUCCCGGUGUCUGUUUGCAGUGUGCUCCCCCCGUGUCCAGGCAGCUCCCCCAGGACAAAGAAGACAGACAGGCAGGAAGCAGCUCCUCAAGUCAGCCAAGUCCACCAGCACUGCGCUCCCUACUCCCGAAGCCUCUCGGAGAUUGGUGCAGGAGGUCUGGAACCUGUCCUCGCAGUGGGACCAAACAAAGAGCUCAUGGCCCUUGUACCAAAAGCGAAUACAGCAAGCCCGGGCAGAAAUGGCUGCUUGGGGAGCCUGGUCUCAGGGGGAGGACCGAGAGACACCUCAGGUCACCAGGCAACAUGAUUGGAUUCCCCAUCCCCCAGCCCAGCCCAGGAGCAAGGAGGUCGUGAGGAGGUGGAGGAAGGUUCAAUCCCUGCCGCAGAAGAGG
This is a non-coding RNA of Anas platyrhynchos (mallard), 778 nucleotides long. NCBI's taxonomy places the organism in Eukaryota, Metazoa, Chordata, Aves, Anseriformes, Anatidae. The record is from RefSeq and is a predicted model, not a curated record.